Molecule: ribosomal RNA, 174 nt
Filed under: Triticum aestivum (bread wheat)
Lineage: Eukaryota; Viridiplantae; Streptophyta; Magnoliopsida; Poales; Poaceae
Description: partial small subunit ribosomal RNA
Source: RNAcentral
AUGAUGGAGAAGUACUUGGAAAUAAGGGCGAAGCAAGUGGAGGAUGAGAGGAAUAAGCCAAGGGUUGUGGAUGAGUACUCUAUCAAGAACUGCACUGAUCUGCUGAAAACAAUGGACAUCACACCUGAAGAAGAAGUCAAGGCUUUCCGAGUCUUCAAGAUCCCUGAGUGUUAG